UUAAGCGACUAAGCGUACACGGUGGAUGCCCUGGCAGUCAGAGGCGAUGAAGGACGUGCUAAUCUGCGAUAAGCGUCGGUAAGGUGAUAUGAACCGUUAUAACCGGCGAUUUCCGAAUGGGGAAACCCAGUGUGUUUCGACACACUAUCAUUAACUGAAUCCAUAGGUUAAUGAGGCGAACCGGGGGAACUGAAACAUCUAAGUACCCCGAGGAAAAGAAAUCAACCGAGAUUCCCCCAGUAGCGGCGAGCGAACGGGGAGCAGCCCAGAGCCUGAAUCAGUGUGUGUGUUAGUGGAAGCGUCUGGAAAGGCGCGCGAUACAGGGUGACAGCCCCGUACACAAAAAUGCACAUGCUGUGAGCUCGAUGAGUAGGGCGGGACACGUGGUAUCCUGUCUGAAUAUGGGGGGACCAUCCUCCAAGGCUAAAUACUCCUGACUGACCGAUAGUGAACCAGUACCGUGAGGGAAAGGCGAAAAGAACCCCGGCGAGGGGAGUGAAAAAGAACCUGAAACCGUGUACGUACAAGCAGUGGGAGCACGCUUAGGCGUGUGACUGCGUACCUUUUGUAUAAUGGGUCAGCGACUUAUAUUCUGUAGCAAGGUUAACCGAAUAGGGGAGCCGAAGGGAAACCGAGUCUUAACUGGGCGUUAAGUUGCAGGGUAUAGACCCGAAACCCGGUGAUCUAGCCAUGGGCAGGUUGAAGGUUGGGUAACACUAACUGGAGGACCGAACCGACUAAUGUUGAAAAAUUAGCGGAUGACUUGUGGCUGGGGGUGAAAGGCCAAUCAAACCGGGAGAUAGCUGGUUCUCCCCGAAAGCUAUUUAGGUAGCGCCUCGUGAAUUCAUCUCCGGGGGUAGAGCACUGUUUCGGCAAGGGGGUCAUCCCGACUUACCAACCCGAUGCAAACUGCGAAUACCGGAGAAUGUUAUCACGGGAGACACACGGCGGGUGCUAACGUCCGUCGUGAAGAGGGAAACAACCCAGACCGCCAGCUAAGGUCCCAAAGUCAUGGUUAAGUGGGAAACGAUGUGGGAAGGCCCAGACAGCCAGGAUGUUGGCUUAGAAGCAGCCAUCAUUUAAAGAAAGCGUAAUAGCUCACUGGUCGAGUCGGCCUGCGCGGAAGAUGUAACGGGGCUAAACCAUGCACCGAAGCUGCGGCAGCGACGCUUAUGCGUUGUUGGGUAGGGGAGCGUUCUGUAAGCCUGUGAAGGUGUGCUGUGAGGCAUGCUGGAGGUAUCAGAAGUGCGAAUGCUGACAUAAGUAACGAUAAAGCGGGUGAAAAGCCCGCUCGCCGGAAGACCAAGGGUUCCUGUCCAACGUUAAUCGGGGCAGGGUGAGUCGACCCCUAAGGCGAGGCCGAAAGGCGUAGUCGAUGGGAAACAGGUUAAUAUUCCUGUACUUGGUGUUACUGCGAAGGGGGGACGGAGAAGGCUAUGUUGACCGGGCGACGGUUGUCCCGGUUUAAGCGUGUAGGCUGGUUUUCCAGGCAAAUCCGGAAAAUCAAGGCUGAGGCGUGAUGACGAGGCACUACGGUGCUGAAGCAACAAAUGCCCUGCUUCCAGGAAAAGCCUCUAAGCAUCAGGUAACAUCAAAUCGUACCCCAAACCGACACAGGUGGUCAGGUAGAGAAUACCAAGGCGCUUGAGAGAACUCGGGUGAAGGAACUAGGCAAAAUGGUGCCGUAACUUCGGGAGAAGGCACGCUGAUAUGUAGGUGAAGUCCCUCGCGGAUGGAGCUGAAAUCAGUCGAAGAUACCAGCUGGCUGCAACUGUUUAUUAAAAACACAGCACUGUGCAAACACGAAAGUGGACGUAUACGGUGUGACGCCUGCCCGGUGCCGGAAGGUUAAUUGAUGGGGUCAGCGCAAGCGAAGCUCUUGAUCGAAGCCCCGGUAAACGGCGGCCGUAACUAUAACGGUCCUAAGGUAGCGAAAUUCCUUGUCGGGUAAGUUCCGACCUGCACGAAUGGCGUAAUGAUGGCCAGGCUGUCUCCACCCGAGACUCAGUGAAAUUGAACUCGCUGUGAAGAUGCAGUGUACCCGCGGCAAGACGGAAAGACCCCGUGAACCUUUACUAUAGCUUGACACUGAACAUUGAGCCUUGAUGUGUAGGAUAGGUGGGAGGCUUAGAAGUGUGGACGCCAGUCUGCAUGGAGCCGACCUUGAAAUACCACCCUUUAAUGUUUGAUGUUCUAACGUUGACCCGUAAUCCGGGUUGCGGACAGUGUCUGGUGGGUAGUUUGACUGGGGCGGUCUCCUCCUAAAGAGUAACGGAGGAGCACGAAGGUUGGCUAAUCCUGGUCGGACAUCAGGAGGUUAGUGCAAUGGCAUAAGCCAGCUUGACUGCGAGCGUGACGGCGCGAGCAGGUGCGAAAGCAGGUCAUAGUGAUCCGGUGGUUCUGAAUGGAAGGGCCAUCGCUCAACGGAUAAAAGGUACUCCGGGGAUAACAGGCUGAUACCGCCCAAGAGUUCAUAUCGACGGCGGUGUUUGGCACCUCGAUGUCGGCUCAUCACAUCCUGGGGCUGAAGUAGGUCCCAAGGGUAUGGCUGUUCGCCAUUUAAAGUGGUACGCGAGCUGGGUUUAGAACGUCGUGAGACAGUUCGGUCCCUAUCUGCCGUGGGCGCUGGAGAACUGAGGGGGGCUGCUCCUAGUACGAGAGGACCGGAGUGGACGCAUCACUGGUGUUCGGGUUGUCAUGCCAAUGGCACUGCCCGGUAGCUAAAUGCGGAAGAGAUAAGUGCUGAAAGCAUCUAAGCACGAAACUUGCCCCGAGAUGAGUUCUCCCUGACUCCUUGAGAGUCCUGAAGGAACGUUGAAGACGACGACGUUGAUAGGCCGGGUGUGUAAGCGCAGCGAUGCGUUGAGCUAACCGGUACUAAUGAACCGUGAGGCUUAACCUU
This 2902-nucleotide ribosomal RNA is filed under the name Escherichia coli BIDMC 37. RNAcentral describes it as "bacterial LSU rRNA". It matches the Rfam family "Bacterial large subunit ribosomal RNA". The record is from RNAcentral. Lineage: Bacteria; Pseudomonadati; Pseudomonadota; Gammaproteobacteria; Enterobacterales; Enterobacteriaceae.